This is a regulatory RNA element of Nocardia brasiliensis ATCC 700358, 106 nucleotides long. It matches the Rfam family "mraW RNA". Lineage: Bacteria; Bacillati; Actinomycetota; Actinomycetes; Mycobacteriales; Nocardiaceae. The record is from Rfam.
GCGAACGAGUGCCGCGCGGCCUCUGCCCGGACGCGGACCCUGACGUACUUCCCCGACGCCAGGUGCCGCGGCUCGGUCAGAGACCACGGGGCAUUCGUCUCCGGCA